AGAUAUUUAGUCUAAUAAAAUAAGACCAUCAAUUUCGACUUGAUAAAUUACAGUGAAAUUCUGUAAAUAUCUC
This 73-nucleotide transfer RNA is filed under the name Narke japonica (Japanese sleeper ray). RNAcentral's name for it is "tRNA-Arg". The record is from RNAcentral. Lineage: Eukaryota; Metazoa; Chordata; Chondrichthyes; Torpediniformes; Narkidae.